Molecule: ribosomal RNA, 475 nt
Filed under: Asceles margaritatus
Lineage: Eukaryota; Metazoa; Arthropoda; Insecta; Phasmatodea; Lonchodidae
Description: partial large subunit ribosomal RNA
Source: RNAcentral
AUUGGAUUCAAGUCCUACCGUGUGCUUACGGGACGCCCUUGCCAGAUGUUGCUGGUCGCCCACGGUGAUUCAUUUCGCUUGUGGUGUCGUUCCCGGCGAUCACUCGGCUAUGUGGUGUAUCCCGGCACCGGAGGAAUGCACUUCCUCCCUAGUAGAAACGUCGCGACCCGUUGGGUGCCGGUCCAAGGCGUGGGAUGGCAGACCGCGUGCCCUGUGGGGGUUCCCACAGGCGUGCGGACUCCUGGUGACCCGGCCGGCUGCCCGACGGUAUGACCAGAGGAGUCGAUCCGCUGAAAGUGAAACACUGUGGUUGUGUAGCGUCCGGCCCGACGCCGGGGCGUGCGGGGAUUGAGGUGUAAACCGGGGGUGCCCGUGCGAAGCACGGCCCCGGCCCCGCUGCGUCUCCGGAUACGUCGGUGACCUCGGACUGGAUCAGCACUCCCGUCUGCGACGCCCACCUUCGGAUGGUCUCCCG